Molecule: long non-coding RNA, 4505 nt
Filed under: Mytilus galloprovincialis (Mediterranean mussel)
Lineage: Eukaryota; Metazoa; Mollusca; Bivalvia; Mytilida; Mytilidae
Source: RNAcentral
AAUUCUUCUUUUUUUUAUAGGUCUACUACAUAGUUGAUACUGUAGGACAGGCUACAGAAAUAAGAAAACUGGUCUCUCUCAUCAGCAAUAGUGUGGCAAUUCUAAAAUUUCAACAUGCGGCCUACACAGCUAGCUCAUGUGGAGAAGAGAUAUGAGACUGAUUGCGAAUAAAUGUACACUUAGUUUAGUGCAUCAUGGAUCUACAAAGUGAAACAUAUGUACCAAAAAUAUUAGUUUAUUCAUAACUAAGCCUUUUUCAGCACUGCAGUCAACAGAACAAUGAUAGUGACAAGAAUUGAGACUAUUUAAUACCUCAAACAAUGGGAAAAUACUUCUUGAGAUCAGUUGUAAGUGGUUUUAUAUCAUGCAUGAAACAAUAAACUUAAGUAGUUUUAAAAACUGUUGGAUAAUUCAUACACUGUACCAGACAAACUCACACAAUAAAAUUUAUUAAAUAUGAACACAAUCAUUUUUUUUCUAAUUUUUUUGCAUUCAAAGCAGUUUGACGGCAAAAGACGCAAAUAAUGCUUUAAUAAAUUUGGUCUUACAAAGCCUAUUAAUGUUUUCUUUUGUGCUGUAACCAUAUAAAAUGCAUGUAUUUUUAAUGGUAAAGGACUAUAGAACUCAAUCAGACUAAAAAAAUGGAAUUAUAUUGUUUUCAAUGAGUGGUUAAAGGUGGCAGGUACCAGUUUUGGUGUACCAGAACAUGUGUCCCACGCAGAAAUUUUGUUAUAGUUAAGUAUUGAGGUAUAUAAUUGCAUCAUGUGGACUGAAAAAAUAAAUGAAUGUAAAUUCUAGGCUUCUGUACUACACAAGUAAGUAGUUGCAUACACAGGUUGGGGAUUUCCUUCACAUAUAGGUCCAAUCAGAUGUCAAAAUUGUGGUCUCCUCACUUGACGGCAUCCAAUCAAAGUGGGGAAAAAAUUCAGUUUUAUGUAAACAAAAAUAUCUUGAGAUUUUGAUGGUAAGGAUAGGUUCGGACAAGGCUCUAAUUCACUGAAUAUCCUUUCUCUCUUGAAUUUUGGCUAAAAUUCUUGUCGGCUUUUAGCAGGAUUUUGCAGGUGAGGAUUAGAUUGGUAUCAGAGCAUCACAUUUUUUGCCUUAUUUGCAAUGCAUUUAUAAAUUUUUAAAUUUCCAUGCUGGACAGACACCCAAAUUUAAAGGUUUUCUAUAUAUUAACAUAAGCACGCACACAUCUUAGUUCCUUGAAACCAUACAUUUUAUUUGUAUAUAAGCUUGAAUGAAUUUUCAAGAAAAUAAAAUCAUAAAUCCAUGAAAUUCUAAAGAUUUAUUGUAAAAUAACUGGUUUCUGCCACCUUAAGCCUAAAUGAUUUAAAUAUCACAAAAAGAUUUAUUCUACAGGCUGUUAUUCAGUUUCAAGCAUAUGACAAUAAAAUAUAUCAAAAUUGAUAAUCAUUUGUUGACAGACUGAAAAUAUAUCAAAACAUGAUAUCUUAUAUAGAAAUUUGACAAGAGCUGAAAAAUAAAAUCAAAUACAUAUAGACAGAUAAUCAAGCUUAAUAUUGUACUGACAGAGCUGAAAUGAUAUAUUUCAAAAUGACAUAUAUAGGGACAUAAUUCUUAGGUUUAACUAUGUUGACAGAGCAUGAAAAAUAUAUCAAAAUCAUAUAGGUGUGAGAUAAUCAGUUAAUAUGUCUACAAAGCUGAAAAGUAUAUCAAAAUACAUAUAGAGGGAGAUAAUCAGGGAUAAUAUGUCUGACAGAGCUGAACAAUAUAUCAAAAUACAUAUAGAGGGGAGAUAAUCAGGGCUAAUAUGUCUCAGAGCUGAAAAAUAUAUCCAAAAUACAUUAGUUUAGAUAACUAAGGGGUUUAUUCAUGCAAGCUGAAACAAUAUAUCAAAAUAGAUUAAUAGAGGUUGGAUAAUCAGGGCAAAUAUGUCAUUGACAAGUGGUUUAAAAAUAUAUCAAAUACAUUAAGUAAUAACAGUUGGAUAAUAUUUGACAGACUGAAAAAUAUAUCAAAUUUACAUAUACAUGCUGCAGUACAUAGUAAUAGUUUGUGUAUCUAUAGCAGAGCAAUGUCAAUAUAUGGAACAAAUAAAAUUGAUGAAAAGUAGAAAUCGAUGCAGAAACGAAACUAUUACAAACAUCUGGGAGAGGCUAUACGAUAUAACCAUGUUAAAAAUGCUAAAGGUGGCAGGUACCAGUUUUGGUGUACCAGAACAUGUGUCCCACGCAGAAAUUUUGUUAUAGUUAAGUAUUGAGGUAUAUAAUUGCAUCAUGUGGACUGAAAAAAUAAAUGAAUGUAAAUUCUAGGCUAUUGUACUACACAAGUAAGUAGUUGCAUACACAGGUUGGGGAUUUCCUUCACAUAUAGGUCCAAUCAGAUGUCAAAAUUGUGGUCUCCUCACUUGACGGCAUCCAAUCAAAGUGGGGGAAAAAUUCAGUUUUAUGUAAACAAAAAUAUCUUGAGAUUUUGAUGGUAAGGAUAGGUUCGGACAAGGCUCUAAUUCACUGAAUAUCCUUUCUCUCUUGAAUUUUGGCUAAAAUUCUUGUCGGCUUUUAGCAGGAUUUUGCAGGUGAGGAUUAGAUUGGUAUCAGAGCAUCACAUUUUUUGCCUUAUUUGCAAUGCAUUUAUAAAUUUUUAAAUUUCCAUGCUGGACAGACACCCAAAUUUAAAGGUUUUCUAUAUAUUAACAUAAGCACGCACACAUCUUAGUUCCUUGAAACCAUACAUUUUAUUUGUAUAUAAGCUUGAAUGAAUUUUCAAGAAAAUAAAAUCAUAAAUCCAUGAAAUUCUAAAGAUUUAUUGUAAAAUAACUGGUUUCUGCCACCUUAAGCCUAAACAUGAUUUUAACAUAUCACAAAAUGUGCCUUUUUAAGAGUUCUACAGGUGUGUGGUAAUAUAUUUCUUUUAUUCACAGUCAAUGUAUAGGUCUGUUUGCAAGCAAAUAGUUUUUACAUGGAUUUUAAGAAUUAUCAAAUAUCAAGACAGAUAACUCUGUAUCCCAAUACAAACAAUGACAUUCAAUUGAUUAGUUUUAAAAUGAUUAUGUUCACCAAACAAUGAUUUUAUAUCAUAAAUUAUAUAGAAAUAGCAAUUACAAAGAGAGAAAAAAGUAAAAUAAGCCUCAGCAUAGUACAAGAAAAAGCUGAUUAUACUGUAUAUUACCUGUUAUAAUGAUUUAUUUCAUAUGAUAUGGACAUUUUCUUAUUUAUUUACUUUUUAACUAUGAAUAUAUGAAUUCUUCUUUUUUAUAGGUCUACUACAUAGUUGAUACUGUAGGACAGGCUAUAGAAAUAAGAAAACUGGUCUCUCUCAUCAGCAAUAGUGUGGCAAUUCUAAAAUUUCAACAUGCGGCCUACACAGCUAGCUCAUGUGGAGAAGAGAUAUGAGACUGAUUGCGAAUAAAUGUACACUUAGUUUAGUGCAUCAUGGAUCUACAAAGUGAAACAUAUGUACCAAAAAUAUUAGUUUAUUCAUAACUAAGCCUUUUUCAGCACUGCAGUCAACAGAACAAUGAUAGUGACAAGAAUUGAGACUAUUUAAUACCUCAAACAAUGGGAAAAUACUUCUUGAGAUCAGUUGUAAGUGGUUUUAUAUCAUGCAUGAAACAAUAAACUUAAGUAGUUUUAAAAACUGUUGGAUAAUUCAUACACUGUACCAGAAAACUCACACAAUAAAAUUUAUUAAAUAUGAACACAAUCAUUUUUUUCUAAUUUUUUUGCAUUCAAAGCAGUUUGACGGCAAAAGACGCAAAUAAUGCUUUAAUAAAUUUGGUCUUACAAAGCCUAUUAAUGUUUUCUUUUUGUGCUGUAACCAUAUAAAAUGCAUGUAUUUUUAAUGGUAAAGGACUAUAGAACUCAAUCAGACUAAAAAAAUGGAAUUAUAUUGUUUUCAAUGAGUGGUUAAAGGUGGCAGGUACCAGUUUUGGUGUACCAGAACAUGUGUCCCACGCAGAAAUUUUGUUAUAGUUAAGUAUUGAGGUAUAUAAUUGCAUCAUGUGGACUGAAAAAAUAAAUGAAUGUAAAUUCUAGGCUAUUGUACUACACAAGUAAGUAGUUGCAUACACAGGUUGGGGAUUUCCUUCACAUAUAGGUCCAAUCAGAUGUCAAAAUUGUGGUCUCCUCACUUGACGGCAUCCAAUCAAAGUGGGGGGAAAAUUCAGUUUUAUGUAAACAAAAAUAUCUUGAGAUUUUGAUGGUAAGGAUAGGUUCGGACAAGGCUCUAAUUCACUGAAUAUCCUUUCUCUCUUGAAUUUUGGCUAAAAUUCUUGUCGGCUUUUAGCAGGAUUUUGCAGGUGAGGAUUAGAUUGGUAUCAGAGCAUCACAUUUUUUGCCUUAUUUGCAAUGCAUUUAUAAAUUUUUAAAUUUCCAUGCUGGACAGACACCCAAAUUUAUAGGUUUUCUAUAUAUUAACAUAAGCACGCACACAUCUUAGUUCCUUGAAACCAUACAUUUUAUUUGUAUAUAAGCUUGAAUGAAUUUUCAAGAAAAUAAAAUCAUAAAUCCAUGAAAUUCUAAAGAUUUAUUGUAAAAUAACUG